AUUACUCAAAAGUGUUUGAUUAUGAAUCUGCAGUAAUAUUGUCACAGGGAGUUAUGACAGUUGAACUGCAACCAUCCUCAGCUGGAAAAACAUGCGAUAAAAAAGUCAAGCUCACUCACUUACGAGUGGGUUGCUCACCUGAAAAAAGAAUAGAAGUUGCUGGAAAACCUGUUGAAUGUGAAAAUAUUACCUUUUCAAUACCUGGGU
Molecule: non-coding RNA, 207 nt
Organism: Anolis sagrei ordinatus
Lineage: Eukaryota; Metazoa; Chordata; Lepidosauria; Squamata; Anolidae
Source: RefSeq, a predicted model, not a curated record